Molecule: transfer RNA, 71 nt
Filed under: Lachnospiraceae bacterium
Lineage: Bacteria; Bacillati; Bacillota; Clostridia; Lachnospirales; Lachnospiraceae
Description: tRNA-Gly
Rfam family: tRNA
About the family: Transfer RNA (tRNA) molecules are approximately 80 nucleotides in length. Their secondary structure includes four short double-helical elements and three loops (D, anti-codon, and T loops).
Source: RNAcentral
GCACCGUUAGUUUAUCGGUAAAACAUAAGCUUCCCAAGCUUAGGAGGAGGGUUCGACUCCCUUACGGUGCU